AUUGAACGCUGGCGGCAGGCCUAACACAUGCAAGUCGAGCGGAUGAAGGGAGCUUGCUCCUGGAUUCAGCGGCGGACGGGUGAGUAAUGCCUAGGAAUCUGCCUGGUAGUGGGGGAUAACGUCCGGAAACGGGCGCUAAUACCGCAUACGUCCUGAGGGAGAAAGUGGGGGAUCUUCGGACCUCACGCUAUCAGAUGAGCCUAGGUCGGAUGAGCUAGUUGGUGGGGUAAAGGCCUACCAAGGCGACGAUCCGUAACUGGUCUGAGAGGAUGAUCAGUCACACUGGAACUGAGACACGGUCCAGACUCCUACGGGAGGCAGCAGUGGGGAAUAUUGGACAAUGGGCGAAAGCCUGAUACAGCCAUGCCGCGUGUGUGAAGAAGGUCUUCGGAUUGUAAAGCACUUUAAGUUGGGAGGAAGGGCAGUAAGUUAAUACCUUGCUGUUUUGACGUUACCAACAGAAUAAGCACCGGCUAACUUCGUG
RNAcentral lists this ribosomal RNA (484 nucleotides) under uncultured bacterium. RNAcentral describes it as "partial 16S ribosomal RNA". It matches the Rfam family "Bacterial small subunit ribosomal RNA", at positions 30 to 507 of the family's 1533-position model. The record is from RNAcentral.